Molecule: long non-coding RNA, 2674 nt
Organism: Scylla paramamosain (green mud crab)
Lineage: Eukaryota; Metazoa; Arthropoda; Malacostraca; Decapoda; Portunidae
Exons: 4
Source: RefSeq, a predicted model, not a curated record
CUCCGGCAGUCUCUUGCCAGGGUGUAACGCUGUACCACGCAGAGGACAUCCGUUGUCCCGUACGCGCCACACCCUUCUCCAGAACUCUGUACAUAUAUCUAAAUAUACCUAUUUUUAUACGUUCACCUUUGACAUUCACCUGAAAACCACAGAAACUCACCAAGAGUGACUUUACCUAUUAUAUAAAGUGUUGCCACGGUGACGGUGGUGGUGGGCAUGACACAGAUGCGGGAGCUGGAGUUUGUGCCCGAUGGAGACAUGCAGCUGGACAAAUUGUGUUGGUCAUUGGUCAGACUGGAGUUUACAUGUGUACCUCCUUCACCAUCAUUGGUGGACACUUCACCAUGAGUGAUGCUUGAGCUGUCAUGGUGUUGCUGGUGCUGUCUGCCAUCAUCACCCUGACACAGACCACCCUGCAGACACCUUCAUCCUGGGUGCCACACGUCGCUGCUGCUACAACUCAGAGCAACAAGAGCACAAGCCAGGAAGGGAAAUGAUUACCUUGUUGAUGUGCAGUCUUGCUAUGUGGGCGAUGAACACCUCUGGGACAUGACGAGCAGAUGCCCAUCCAGCACAGCUCAACUUGUAUGGAAUCUGGACCUGGACCAUCACAUGAAUGCCACUGCCUUUGAUAUGUGUUUGAUAUGGCUUCUAUUGCUUUCAAGUGACCAUCUGCCUCUGUGAAAUAUGGAAGAUCUUACAAGGUCAAGCAUAAUAUUAAGCAAGUGAUAGGAAUGGUGAUAUGAGUGUGGUGUGUCUGAAUUAACUGUCAGAGUAUUGUAAAUAUUAUUACUUAGUCUUCCCAGUUAUGAAAUUAAGAACAGUUGUGAAGUUUGCUUUAAAACCCUUCAUUAACUUUGCCACAAAACACUUUUACAUGUUGUCAAAAGUGUGUAACUGUUAUGAAGUGUGUGUAUAUAUCAUUACUACAGAAGAAUCUGGAAUUUCCCCUCAGAUUACUUUAAUGAAUGAAGCUUGAGUUCACAGAUGUGUGGUUCCUUAAUGCAAAUAGUCUUGCCCCAAAAAACUUGUGAUGUCAAACUAACUUUUCUUAACACACCACAACCAAAACCACUCAAAAUUAUACAUUAAUUUUUUUUUAUAGAGCAACAUGUGUGGAAAGUGGUACCAGAAAUAUUUGCAUAACAAAUAUUUGGUUCUGGACCUUAGCACUUAUACAGUACUGCACUAACUUACACACAAGGUUAAUUAAUGAUGUAAUACUCAGGUGAAGCUGGAUUUUCAAAAGACUGAUCAAUAUUUUUUCCCAGAUGUCAUUUUUAUGCAGCUGACUGAAGGAGAAAACAUUGCAAAGGUCACACUAUUCUUAAAUCUUACUAAAAUGUAUGUGCAUCACUUUCUGCUUUCACCCCAAUGGCACACAAACCAAAAUUCAUGGGUAUGGAGAUGGCUGGACUAGUUCCUGUGGCCACCCCUCUUAUAUCUUAAUUUGCCACUGUCUUCCCUGUGUGCUGGUUAAGUUCCUGCAUAUUGCAAUACUUAAUCUACUCACUGCUGAAGUCCCUGGAAACUAGGUAGAAUAAUUUAGAAUGACAUGGUUAAGUUAAUGCCUAUAAAAUCUUAUUUGGAAUAUUCAGGAAGAUUGAAUUAUUCUUCCUCUGUUGAAGCAAAUGAUAUGACAUUGACUAGAAGCUUUCACAAUAUUUGUAAACUUUCUUGUAUCAGCGAUCUUUUGAAAAUGCAACCAUUAAUCUGUAAAUACUUGUAUAGUGUAGCUGGCAUGAAGGUUGCAGUCUUCAUGAUUUACUAGUGGACAAGCAAUAAGUGAUGGUGUUGAGCCACUGUAGUAGUGAUGUUAUGGUAGGAAGUCACUGUCAAGAUCAGGACGUCUGCAAGUUCAAAUGGUCACCUAACAAUUGCAUCUUAGAAAAACACAAACAGGAAGUUUAUGCAAGUUUUUAUCCUUAUAUGAAAUGUUGCUAGUGUUAACAUAUAAAAUUGUAUUGCAUCAAAGCCCCAUACAUUACUGUCUCUAUCCAGUAUGAGACCGGUGUUCAGGAUAACAAGAAGCCGGCAUUGCUCAAGCUGACCACAUUUCAUCCAUUUAUACAUACUUUUUAUUAUUAAAGCUUAUCUAGUAAUUAUUGCUGAAGACAUUGACUCAUUUAUUUAUUUAUUUAUGACUUAGAACUAUGAUAAAGCUAUGGAUUGAUAUAAUUCCUGAUUUGUUUCCAUUCUUGUCUCCGCUUGUCCAUCCCUGAGUGGUCAGAAGCGGUGCUCCACUGAUGAUGUGGAAGCCUGAGACAGCCAAUCAUUUAAUGGGCUAGGUUACCUUUUGUCACCAGUCUUCUGUGUGUCACUACGUUUGGAAAUGUUUACCUGUUCUAUUUAAUUUGUUGGUUAUAAUAAUGUUUAUGGUCAAUAAACUAUUUAUAAAACUAUUUAUCUGUGUCAGUAUGAUAAAAGCAGUUAUUGUUAUUAUUAUUAUUAUUAUUAUUAUUAUUAUUAUUAUUAUUAUUAUUAUUAUUACACAUUUUCCUCCUUGUAUUUAAAUAUUAUUAUUAUUAUUAUUAUUAUUAUUAUUAUUAUUAUUAUUAUUACACAUUUUCCUCCUUGUAUUUAAAUAUUAUUAUUAUUAUUAUUAUUAUUAUUAUUAUUAUUAUUAUUAUUAUUAUGCAUUUUUCUUGUAUAUAAAUAAAAUAUUGUAACUGAU